AAGAUUCGACCGUUUGAGGCCGAUCCAACUCAUAAUCAUAGACCAUCGAGUGCCCCAGAUUCAAUAUGAUGAGAUCGAACGGAUGGGAAAUUGAGUAUUUAAAAAAACAAUUUAAGGUUUCUUCAUUUUUCAAAGUGAGAGCCAAAAAUGAGAUAGGGAGAGAGCUGAGUUCGAGUGGGAGAGAGAGUAGGCCGAGCGGAGUGAAAGUCGAGUAGAAGGGAGAAGACAGUGCGAUGGAGAGAGGGCAGUGUGCUUGAGGUUGUGGAUCGACGAAGAAGAAGAAGGGAGAGUUGAAAUCAGGAGGAAUGAAGAUUGAAAAAGGAAGAGAGAAGAGGGUUGCUAGCUAGAUAGAGAAAGAGAAAGAAAGGAGAGGAGCGGUUGAAGAAGAAGAAGAACAAUAAAGCACCGCGAAAGUUGAAGGCCAGAGGAAGAAGGGAUAAGAAGAGUCACGAUUGGGAGACGCCACGAUGCUGGCAGUUUCUAAAGUGAGUCGCACGCGAUGCCGAUUAUUCUGAAGUAGAAUCAACCACCCUGUCGCAACGAGUGAGGAGUUCUUUUGGGGAAAAUUGAAAAAUAGUUUCGGGAGGUGAGAACCCGAAACCCGAAGCCGUUUAGCCCUUCGUGGCACCUGACCUGAAUCUUAUAAUCCUCUUUCCCUUUUAUGUCAAAGUUUUCGAUGGGAGCAUCUGUUGACACGUAUGUGGACGCGUAUGUGCAGAAUUUAGAAGACAAAAAGCUUAUGUCGAUGCAGUGAGCCGAAGAGUGGUCUACCAGAUGCAAGAAUCCAAGUAUUCCUAGUGAGGUUCGAAACCCGUAAACCAAAAGCGAUUUAGACUUUUAGUUUCUGAUUUACGAUUAUUAACCAUGCAGUGGAUCCAUAUUGAACCAUAUUGCUUGUGAUUGAAUCUGGUAUUGCAGGGCAUUUUGGGAAAGCCAAUUUGUAAAUGAAUUUUUUAAGUAUUCCUCGUUCCAAACCUAGAUUAGGAUUUUUUAAGUUUACGCAUGUGUAUUCUUAAUUUUUGUGAGUAUUUCAGUCUAGUACGGAUACUUCACUAAUAUACUGAGAAGAAUUGAGACUCGAACACCAUCUAGACAGCAUGAGCCUGCCAAGGGGAGUUCAGGACAUUUGAUCUAUGAUGGUCGCUUGCUUAUUUUGUUGUUUUUGACAAUUAUGAACCUACAAUUAUUUUGAGACUCGAACACCAUCUAGACAGCAUGAGCCUGCCAAGGGGAGUUCAGGACAUUUGAUCU
This 1251-nucleotide long non-coding RNA is filed under the name Carica papaya (papaya). RNAcentral's name for it is "long non-coding RNA (CPAP_LNC002109)". Lineage: Eukaryota; Viridiplantae; Streptophyta; Magnoliopsida; Brassicales; Caricaceae. The record is from RNAcentral.